AUGAAUAUUGUCACGGGGGCCAUGGGCAGCCUGAUCCCCAAGCUGGGCGAGCUGCUCGUGGAGGAGUACAAGCUGCACAAGCGCGUCAGGAAAGAUGUCGAGUUCCUCAUGAAGGAGCUUGAGAGCAUGCACGCUGCCCUCGUCAAGGUUGGCGAGGUGCCGCGGGACCAGCUCGACAGGCAAGUCAAGCUCUGGGCUGACGAGGUCAGAGAGCUCUCCUACAACAUGGAGGAUGUCGUGGACAAGUUCCUCGUACGAGUUGACGGCGACGGCAUUCAGCAGCCUCAUGACAACUCCGGCAGAUUCAAGGAGCUCAAGAACAAGAUGGUCGGCUUGUUCAAGAAAGGCAAGAAUCACCAUAGCAUAGCUGACGCGAUCAAGGAAAUCAAGGAGCAACUCCAGGAGGUGGCCGCUAGGCGUGAGAGGAACAAGGUAGUUGCUCCUAAUCCUACGGAAUCAAUUGCUAUCGAUCCUUGUCUUCGAGCUUUGUAUGCAGAAGCGACAGAGCUAGUUGGCAUAUAUGGGAAGAGGGAUCAGGAGCUCAUGAGGUUGCUCUCCAUGGAGGGAGAUGAUGCCUCUAACAAGAGACUGAAGAAGGUCUCCAUUGUUGGAUUUGGAGGGUUGGGCAAGACCACUCUUGCUAGAGCAGUAUACGAGAAGAUUAAAGGUGAUUUCGAAUGUCGGGCAUUUGUUCCUGUCGGAUAG
Molecule: ribosomal RNA, 705 nt
Filed under: Triticum aestivum (bread wheat)
Lineage: Eukaryota; Viridiplantae; Streptophyta; Magnoliopsida; Poales; Poaceae
Description: partial small subunit ribosomal RNA
Source: RNAcentral